Long non-coding RNA from Branchiostoma floridae (Florida lancelet), 2281 nucleotides. RefSeq lists it as uncharacterized. The record is from RefSeq and is a predicted model, not a curated record. Lineage: Eukaryota; Metazoa; Chordata; Leptocardii; Amphioxiformes; Branchiostomatidae. The transcript has 2 exons.
GAACUCGCCCGCGCUCUUUUUCUGGAACGUACAAAAGGUGGAUUGUCCGACGGUGUGCGUCAAGCUCGGCAACAAACGAGUUUUUAACGAGUCUACUCCACACUACGUGUAAGUGCAUUCUGGAAACCAGGGCUAGACGAUGUAAUAAUGUUAAUCAAUGCAGCAAUUUACUACCACGAUUUUGCUCUGUUUAUUCAUAAUUGUUAGAGGUACGUAUCGGCAGAACCUUAAUGCUAAAGCGCUCACAAUCGAUGCCACAAACAUCGCACUUUCACUGCGAUUCAAUAACACUCCACGUGAAAAAUCGCCCGGCGCUGUUGACAUGGGAGAGCUUGUUAAUUCUGCCAGUUUUGUCGUCGCUACCUACCGAGGCACGGUUCUCUAAAUAUUGAUCACCGGUUGCCAAGACAACGUUUCAAAACAAACUAUUCAUCCAGAGCCCUCGCUACGCAUUCGACCAGAACUUAAUGACCCUGUGGUUAGGCACGACGGCUACUCUCGCUCUCUCUGCCAGCUGGAAGAACUUCUCGUCAGUUUGAUCAUAGAGACUGUCUUGUAAGGAAUCAGAAACAGAAAAUGGGCUGUGGAGGAAGCAAAACGUCGGCAGAGCCGAAGACAGAGGACAACAGUCGGCCGGAGUCCUCGCCUAAGCAAGAAGUGGCAGUGAAGCCGGUAGUGAGGGAGGAAACAGAACAGGAGGCCGACCCUGCAGACGACGCCGGGGAGAAGGAGGGUCAGACCGGAGAAGGAGAGGGGCAACAGCAAGAAGCGUCUUAGGAAGAAGCCUGAUUUUAGAACUUGCCCACCAGAUCUCCAUGUUUCAACCGUCUCAACCAUUGACUCUUUCCGAGAGGACUCAACUUUACGAAGAUUCAACUAGAUGCAGUUCAACUUUUUACCACUGUGUGUCGCCUGUGCACGGAUGUCCUGUGCAACACCUGGGAGAUGGUUCCAUGACCUCAUCAACCCGGAAUUUAUGACGACAUGUUCGCCGAGGUGUACCGCAUUCGGUAAUGACUGCCUUAUAGACUGACUCCCACCAUCUGCGGUCAUCGAAAACUGUCCAAAUACACGAUGUAAAUAGUUAAACGAUUAGGAUAGACGGAGGAUGUCAAUAUUAGAUAGACUAUUGAACGCAAAUCACCAAUAGAAAAUACGUUGAAAAUGGUGUAUAAAAGUCCGAUUGUGAAAAAAAGUAUUUUCAUAUUGUAAGAUUGUGUAUGUUGAUAAGGUAUUCUUGGGUUUGGUCUUUAAUGUUUGUUUGCUGCUAUCGUUGUGAAUAUAUAUAAGCAUUUCUAAGGAACAUCUUCGUUGAACAUUUAGGACAGCUUCAUACAAAUGUGCUUAUACAUGUACUAUCAAAGGAAGACAAAUGAUACGUAGACAAACAUAUUAUGACAAUCUUUCACAAACAAAAGAGUAUGUUCUAGCAUGCUUGGGGAUUCUGGCAAUUAAAAUCAAGUGCUAAACAUACUGCAAAUGUACAUGUAGGUACGAAGUUAAACUCACCCCUUUUCGUUGUCGCUUGCUUAGGUCAUGUUGAUUUAAUUAUAUGGAUGACUUCAUCUGGGAAUCAAAAAAACUGAUGCGAGCGUGCGAAUAAAAAUAAAAUGCUUGACCAAAAAAUAGUUGGCUUCAUUAUGAAAUCAAAGUGGUCAGGAAGGCUGAACAAAUGACUGAGCACAUUAUAUAGUAUACCAAACAACAGAUUUUUCAUGUUUGUUCUUUCACAUCCUCUUUGACCUUGUAAUGUUCUAGGACAGUGGUAUACGUUUUCCGUGCAUUUGCUUAUUUUGUACGAUUAGAUACUUUGUACGAUUUAGAGUAUAGUUGAAAACUUUUUAUUUUUAUUUUGGAUACGACCGAAAAUCGACGCGCACGCGGAUCAUCCAUAUAAUCAAAUCAAACAGUACAGUCGAGACGUAUCGGAUGGUACCUUGUAAAGUUUCCUUGAGAGGAUUAAGUGUAACAUCUUGGGAUGAAUGAUGGAGUAGGCCUAGGACUGAGACCUAUUUUCUUCAUUCCUACCUUCAAACAACUGUGAAGAAGAUUGUAUAUACAUGUAUCAUUACCACCUUGGCUGUAAAGAGUGCCAUCUUACGCUCUUUCUGAAACUGCAGAUUCCGAGGACGCAAGAACUCAAAGUCAUUUACCAUCUAUGAGCAGCCAACGUUCAACUUGUAUCGUGGUAACAAAUAAAUGUAAAUAGUGUAAUUCUAUUCCUCAACAACCUGUACUCGGAAACUACCCCCCAUUUGUAAUAAACCAUUGGAUUUUUGUC